UAGGAGCCCACCUUCAUUUCCCAAGUGUGACCCUUAGAUGCUUAGUUGACUCGCGCAUAUUUGCUCUCGUCUUUAGAAAAGAAAGGAAGAGGUCUCGUUCCAAUGAAACAUUUCUAGAAAGGUGUAAUAUAAACUUUCAUUCCAGAAAGUGUGUCAUAAGCAAAUAACUCACCUGUCAGAUUUUAAAUGGUAUUGAACACAAAAGAAAGCUGUUGUGUUUUGUUUUGUUUUCAUGAAACUGUGAUUUUUCAACUUAUGAAUGCUAUAAUGUCCCAGUGCGGGAAGCUAACUCUGUGUGAAUAUCAACUUGUAUAAAACAAACCAACUGACCUAUACACAAACAUUUUUCAUAGGCACUGUAUAAAGAGAAAUGUAUGUUUAUUGACUCAAAUCAGUUUUUCAGAGAGGAAACUUUACUGAGAUGAAGAAGCGGGUAAAUUGGUUUGUUAUUUAAAAAAAAAAAAACUUGCAUGUUUAAAAAAAUGUUGAUUGCUUCAAAUUUCUGCUAUUAACUUCAAGCUAUGGGAGUUUGGCGGUAGUCAAUUGAGGAUUUUUUUCCAUUUCUUUUCUUUUUGUUGUUAAAGCUGUACUUCAGUGAACAGAAAAAUUGCCAAGCAAACUAAUGGCCGUAAAAGUGUAAAUUGCAUGUGUGGGCAUAAUUACCGAACCUCAUUGCCAUGAGGUAUGUACAAAGUUUUAAUACAUUUUGUAAAUAAAAUUGUAAAG
This 726-nucleotide long non-coding RNA is filed under the name Mus musculus (house mouse). RNAcentral describes it as "long non-coding RNA chrX:41677869-41678595". Lineage: Eukaryota; Metazoa; Chordata; Mammalia; Rodentia; Muridae. The record is from RNAcentral.